This 490-nucleotide ribosomal RNA is filed under the name uncultured bacterium. RNAcentral's name for it is "partial 16S ribosomal RNA". It matches the Rfam family "Bacterial small subunit ribosomal RNA", at positions 30 to 507 of the family's 1533-position model. The record is from RNAcentral.
AUUGAACGCUGGCGGCAGGCCUAACACAUGCAAGUCGAACGGUAACAGGAAGAAGCUUGCUUCUUUGCUGACGAGUGGCGGACGGGUGAGUAAUGUCUGGGAAACUGCCUGAUGGAGGGGGAUAACUACUGGAAACGGUAGCUAAUACCGCAUAACGUCGCAAGACCAAAAAGGGGGACCUUCGGGCCUCUUGCCAUCGGAUGUGCCCAGAUGGGACUAGCUAGUAGGUGGGGUAACGGCUCACCUAGUCGACGAUCCCUAGCUGGUCUGAGAGGAUGACCAGCCACACUGGAACUGAGACACGGUCCAGACUCCUACGGGAGGCAGCAGUGGGGAAUAUUGCACAAUGGGCGCAAGCCUGAUGCAGCCAUGCCGCGUGUAUGAAGAAGGCCUUCGGGUUGUAAAGUACUUUCAGCGGGGAGGAAGGGAGUAAAGUUAAUACCUUUGCUCAUUGACGUUACCCGCAGAAGAAGCACCGGCUAACUCCGUG